AGCGAACGUUUGCGGCGGGCCUAACACAUGCAAGUCGAACGCACUAGCAAUAGUGAGUGGCGCACGGGUGCGUAACACGUGGGUAAUCAACCCUUCAGCCUGGGAUAACGACUCGAAAGGGUCGCUAAUACCGGAUACGGCGCGAGAGGCUUCGGCUUCUCACGAGAAAGCCACGCAAGGGGCACUGAAGGACGAGCCUGCGGCCCAUCAGCUAGUUGGUGAGGUAAGAGCUCACCAAGGCUAAGACGGGUAGCUGGUCUGAGAGGAUGAUCAGCCACACUGGAACUGAGACACGGUCCAGACUCCUACGGGAGGCAGCAGUGGGGAAUAUUGCGCAAUGGGCGAAAGCCUGACGCAGCCACGCCGCGUGAGCGAUGAAGGCCUUCGGUCGUAAAGCUCUGUGGGAGGAGACGAAGAAAGACCUGUGAAGAGCAGGCCUUGACGGUAUCUCCUUAGCAAGCACCGGCUAACUCCGU
Molecule: ribosomal RNA, 476 nt
Filed under: uncultured bacterium
Lineage: Bacteria
Description: bacterial SSU rRNA
Rfam family: Bacterial small subunit ribosomal RNA
Source: RNAcentral